This 425-nucleotide ribosomal RNA is filed under the name uncultured bacterium. RNAcentral's name for it is "partial 16S ribosomal RNA". It matches the Rfam family "Bacterial small subunit ribosomal RNA", at positions 354 to 796 of the family's 1533-position model. The record is from RNAcentral.
GUGGGGAAUCUUGCGCAAUGGGCGAAAGCCUGACGCAGCCAUGCCGCGUGAAUGAUGAAGGUCUUAGGAUUGUAAAAUUCUUUCACCGGGGACGAUAAUGACGGUACCCGGAGAAGAAGCCCCGGCUAACUUCGUGCCAGCAGCCGCGGUAAUACGAAGGGGGCUAGCGUUGCUCGGAAUUACUGGGCGUAAAGGGAGCGUAGGCGGAUAGUUUAGUCAGAGGUGAAAGCCCAGGGCUCAACCUUGGAAUUGCCUUUGAUACUGGCUAUCUUGAGUAUGGAAGAGGUAUGUGGAACUCCGAGUGUAGAGGUGAAAUUCGUAGAUAUUCGGAAGAACACCAGUGGCGAAGGCGACAUACUGGUCCAUUACUGACGCUGAGGCUCGAAAGCGUGGGGAGCAAACAGGAUUAGAUACCCUUGUAGUCC